RNAcentral lists this ribosomal RNA (252 nucleotides) under uncultured bacterium. RNAcentral's name for it is "partial 16S ribosomal RNA". It matches the Rfam family "Bacterial small subunit ribosomal RNA", at positions 524 to 774 of the family's 1533-position model. The record is from RNAcentral.
UACGUAGGAUGCAAGCGUUGUCCGGAAUUAUUGGGCGUAAAGAGCGCGCAGGCGGUCUAUCAAGUCAGAUGUGAAAUAUCCAGGCUUAACCUGGAGGGGUCAUUUGAAACUGGUAGACUAGAGUACAGCAGAGGGAUAGUGGAAUUCCCGGUGUAGUGGUGAAAUGCGUAGAUAUCGGGAGGAACACCGAUGGCGAAGGCAGGUCUCUGGGCCGAUACUGACACUGAGGCACGAAAGCGUGGGGAGCAAACA